CAGUUCGGAUUGUAGUCUGCAACUCGACUACAUGAAGCUGGAAUCGCUAGUAAUCGCGGAUCAGAAUGCCGCGGUGAAUACGUUCCCGGGUCUUGUACACACCGCCCGUCACACCAUGGGAGUCGGGAAUGCCCGAAGCCAGUGACCCAAGCGAGAGCAGGGAGCUGUCGAAGGCAGGCCGGAUAACUGGGGUGAAGUCGUAACAAGGUACC
RNAcentral lists this ribosomal RNA (212 nucleotides) under uncultured bacterium. RNAcentral's name for it is "partial 16S ribosomal RNA". It matches the Rfam family "Bacterial small subunit ribosomal RNA", at positions 1289 to 1500 of the family's 1533-position model. The record is from RNAcentral.